AUGGUACAGGAGGGCGAACCACGUUUAAAUCAAGCCAGGGGCGUAUCUCAUGCUCCUGCGAGACGACCCAAGGCACCACCACCUGGACAUGCAAAAAUACACGUUGAUGCGGGCAUCAGACCUGGUCGGGGAGGAGCUGCAGCAGCGGUAUGUAGAGACACAGAUGGCACUUUCUUGGGGAGUUCUGCCCUUGUCAUCGGCGGGGUGGAUGACCCGGCCACGAUGGAGACAAUUGCGUGCCGGGAGGCAUUGGCACUAGCGGAGGACCUACAUAUACAACACUUCAUCGUCUCGUCGGACUCAAAACAAGUUGUUGUUGAUAUCAAAGACAUAAGUAGAGGGAACUACGGAGCUAUUAUUAGUGAAAUCAUCGAUAGAGCUAGUUUUUUUCAUUGUAAUUUUGAGUUUGAAGGUCGUGCUUUCAAUCUUGAAGCACAUAGGUUAGCCAAGUUCGCACUUUCAUUGGGUUCGGGAUGCCACGUCUGGUUUGGCCAAUCCCACAACCCGAACUGUAUCCCACACCAUGUGGAUUUCUCGGAAUAA
RNAcentral lists this ribosomal RNA (543 nucleotides) under Triticum aestivum (bread wheat). RNAcentral's name for it is "partial small subunit ribosomal RNA". Lineage: Eukaryota; Viridiplantae; Streptophyta; Magnoliopsida; Poales; Poaceae. The record is from RNAcentral.